CCUCAACAUGAUAUUAGCAUCUUGUUUGACUGAAAGCAUUGAUAAAAAAUUCAGAAAGACCUUCCCAAACGACCUAAAAUGUGGAAAUUUCAAUGGGGCCAUUGAUGCGUUUUCACUCAGCACUGAUUCAUUGAUUGAAAAGUACAAAAAUGUCGAACUGCAACUGACAUUUCUGCAGACCGAGG
Pundamilia nyererei is the source of this 185-nucleotide long non-coding RNA. RefSeq lists it as uncharacterized. The record is from RefSeq and is a predicted model, not a curated record. The transcript has 2 exons. NCBI's taxonomy places the organism in Eukaryota, Metazoa, Chordata, Actinopteri, Cichliformes, Cichlidae.